GAUGAACGCUGGCGGCGUGCCUAAUACAUGCAAGUCGAGCGAACAGAUGAGAAGCUUGCUUCUCUGAUGUUAGCGGCGGACGGGUGAGUAACACGUGGGUAACCUACCUAUAAGACUGGGAUAACUCCGGGAAACCGGGGCUAAUACCGGAUAAUAUAUUGAACCGCAUGGUUCAAUGUUGAAAGACGGUUUCGGCUGUCACUUAUAGAUGGACCCGCGCCGUAUUAGCUAGUUGGUAAGGUAACGGCUUACCAAGGCAACGAUACGUAGCCGACCUGAGAGGGUGAUCGGCCACACUGGAACUGAGACACGGUCCAGACUCCUACGGGAGGCAGCAGUAGGGAAUCUUCCGCAAUGGGCGAAAGCCUGACGGAGCAACGCCGCGUGAGUGAUGAAGGUCUUAGGAUCGUAAAACUCUGUUGUUAGGGAAGAACAAAUUUGUUAGUAACUGAACAAGUCUUGGCGGUACCUAACCAGAAAGCCACGGCUAACUACGUGCCAGCAGCCGCAGUAA
Molecule: ribosomal RNA, 514 nt
Filed under: uncultured bacterium
Lineage: Bacteria
Description: partial 16S ribosomal RNA
Rfam family: Bacterial small subunit ribosomal RNA
Source: RNAcentral